AACGAACGCUGGCGGCAUGCCUAACACAUGCAAGUCGAACGAGACCUUCGGGUCUAGUGGCGCACGGGUGCGUAACGCGUGGGAACCUGCCCUUAGGUUCGGAAUAACUCCCCGGAAGGGGUGCUAAUACCGGAUAAUGUCUUCGGACCAAAGAUUUAUCGCCUUUGGAUGGGGCCGCGUUGGAUUAGCUAGUUGGUAGGGUAAAAGCCUACCAAGGCGACGGUCCAUAGCUGGUCUGAGAGGAUGAUCAGCCACACUGGGACUGAGACACGGCCCAGACUCGUACGAGAAGCAGCAGUGGGGAAUAUUGGACCAUGGGCGAAAGCCUGAUCCAGCAGUGCCGCGUGAGUGAUGAAGGCCUUAGGGUUGUAAAGCACUUUUACCCGGGAUGAUAAUGACAGUACCGGGAGAAUAAGCUCCGGCUAACUCCGUG
RNAcentral lists this ribosomal RNA (433 nucleotides) under uncultured bacterium. RNAcentral describes it as "partial 16S ribosomal RNA". It matches the Rfam family "Bacterial small subunit ribosomal RNA", at positions 29 to 507 of the family's 1533-position model. The record is from RNAcentral.